RNAcentral lists this transfer RNA (83 nucleotides) under Nostocoides sp. Soil756. RNAcentral's name for it is "Tetrasphaera sp. Soil756 tRNA-Leu". It matches the Rfam family "tRNA". Rfam says of the family: Transfer RNA (tRNA) molecules are approximately 80 nucleotides in length. Lineage: Bacteria; Bacillati; Actinomycetota; Actinomycetes; Micrococcales; Intrasporangiaceae. The record is from RNAcentral.
GCCGGGGUGGUGGAACGGCAGACACGGAGCACUCAAAAUGCUCUGCCCGUGAGGGCGUGCGGGUUCGAGUCCCGCUCCCGGCA